This 1069-nucleotide ribosomal RNA is filed under the name human gut metagenome. Its description in RNAcentral is "bacterial LSU rRNA". It matches the Rfam family "Bacterial large subunit ribosomal RNA", at positions 1862 to 2925 of the family's 2925-position model. The record is from RNAcentral.
CCCGGUGCCGGAAGGUUAAGAGGAUCCGUCAGGCUUCGGCCGAAGCGGUGAAUUCAAGCCCCGGUAAACGGCGGUGGUAACUAUAACCAUCCUAAGGUAGCGAAAUUCCUUGUCGGGUAAGUUCCGACCUGCACGAAUGGCGUAACGACUUCCCCACUGUCUCGACCAGGAGCUCGGCGAAAUUGCAGUACGAGUAAAGAUGCUCGUUAAGCGCAGAAGGACGAAAAGACCCCGGGACCUUUACUAUACCUUGGUAUUGGCAUUCGGUGUGGAUUGUGUAGCAUAGGCGGAAGGCUUCGAAGCCACGGCGCCAGCCGCGGUGGAGCCGCAAGGUGAAAUACCGCUCUGUUCGCAUUGGAUGUCUAACCUCGACCAGUCAUCCUGGUCAGGGACAGUGCCUGGCGGGUAGUUUAACUGGGGCGGUUGCCUCCCAAAGAGUAACGGAGGCGCUCAAAGGUUCCCUCAGCCCGGUUGGCAAUCGGGUGGCGAGUGUAAGUGCACAAGGGAGCUUGACUGCGAGACUGACGGGUCGAGCAGGGACGAAAGUCGGAACUAGUGAUCCGGUGCCGGUGUACGGACGCGGCAUCGCUCAACGGAUAAAAGGUACCCCGGGGAUAACAGGCUGAUCAUUCCCAAGAGUCCAUAUCGACGGGAUGGUUUGGCACCUCGAUGUCGGCUCGUCGCAUCCUGGGGCUGGAGCAGGUCCCAAGGGUUCGGCUGUUCGCCGAUUAAAGCGGCACGCGAGCUGGGUUCAGAACGUCGUGAGACAGUUUGGUCUCUAUCCUCUGCGCUCGUCGGAAUGUUGAGGAGGCCUGCCCAUAGUACGAGAGGACCUGGGUGGACGAACCUCUGGUAUGCCGGUUGUCACGCCAGUGGCACGGCCGGUUGGCUACGUUCGGAAGGGAUAACCGCUGAAAGCAUCUAAGCGGGAAGCCUGCUCCAAGAUAAGCAUUCCAUAGGACUACGGGUCCUUGAAGUCCCCAUGCAGAACACGUGGUUGAUAGGCCGGACGUGGAAGCCCCGCGAGGGGUGGAGCCGACCGGUACUAACGGACGAAAGGCAACACAAC